This 319-nucleotide ribosomal RNA is filed under the name uncultured eukaryote. Its description in RNAcentral is "partial 18S ribosomal RNA". It matches the Rfam family "Eukaryotic small subunit ribosomal RNA", at positions 1470 to 1796 of the family's 1831-position model. The record is from RNAcentral.
CCCUUAGAUGUUCUGGGCUGCACGCGCGCUACACUGAAGCGUUCAACGAGUAUUCACCUUGCCCGGGAGGGUUGGGUAAUCUUUUGAAAACGCUUCGUGAUGGGGAUAGAUUAUUGCAAUUAUUAAUCUUCAACGAGGAAUUCCUAGUAAGCGCGAGUCAUCAGCUCGUGCUGAUUACGUCCCUGCCCUUUGUACACACCGCCCGUCGCUCCUACCGAUUGGGUGCUCCGGUGAAUUGUUUGGACUGCUGUCAGUCUUUUCGGCUGUCGGCGAGAAGCUCUGUGAACCUUAGCACCUAGAGGAAGGAGAAGUCGUAACA